Scomber japonicus (chub mackerel) is the source of this 64-nucleotide small nucleolar RNA. The record is from RefSeq and is a predicted model, not a curated record. Lineage: Eukaryota; Metazoa; Chordata; Actinopteri; Scombriformes; Scombridae.
GUUCAGUGAUGUUUACAAAUGUCUGACCUGAACAUUAAUGUGGACAAUAUCUGUUACUGAGUAA